CAAUAGCGUAUAUUAAAGUUGUUGCAGUUAAAAAGCUCGUAGUUGGAUUUCUGGUUGAAGCGACCGGUCGGGCGUUGAUUCGUCUGCACUGGAGUCGGUUUUGGCCAUCCUCUAGGAAAGUGCGUCUGGUAUUAAGUUAUCGGGCGUAUGAUCCUGGUCUUUUACUGUGAAAAAAUUAGAGUGUUUAAAGCAGGCCUUCGCCUUGAAUACAUUAGCAUGGAAUAAUAAGAUAGGACUUUGGUCUAUUUUGUUGGUUUGCAGACCGAAGUAAUGAUUAAUAGGGAUAGUUGGGGGUAUUUAUAUUCCGAUGUCAGAGGUGAAAUUCUUAGAUUUUCGGAAGAUAAACUUAUGCGAAAGCAUAUACCAAGGAUGUUUUCAUUAA
RNAcentral lists this ribosomal RNA (382 nucleotides) under uncultured eukaryote. Its description in RNAcentral is "partial 18S ribosomal RNA". It matches the Rfam family "Eukaryotic small subunit ribosomal RNA", at positions 592 to 976 of the family's 1831-position model. The record is from RNAcentral.